GGCAGACGGCGUCCAUUCUAUAUACAGUCUAUGGUAGAGACGCUCUGUAAAAUGUUGAAUAAAAACAAGUUUUGAUGGUUUUCAACUUAGAGGUUAAUUUGAAACAGGUCAGUAAGGCCGAGUCCUUCAUUUGCUGAAGAAAACACUGAGACAAAUACAAAACUGUGUUAAAAACAGACAUGACUCUGCAGUGGAAGUCACCGCAUGAGCUCAACAUCACUAAAAAAAAAAAAAAAAAAUUUGUCAAUGCAAGAACAAAAGUGCUUCAAACUGAAUGAUUUUAACGUUUAAAGUUUUCUUUGCUAAAUUUUCACCUAAUUAUAGUGUUUAAAUUGUUUUCAAACCAUCAAAUCCUGUUUUUAUCAACCUUUUAUGCCACGUCUGAACUUUAUGGAGUUGGGGUUGUAUUGUUUUUGUCGCCAAAAGCUGUGAAACCAACUGAAGUGCUCUUAUUCUUCUUUAACUGUCAUACAAAAUGUCAGGAUGUGCUUUUCGUUCUUGUACUGCCCCUUUCAUAUAAAGUAAUUCACUUAAACAUUUGGA
Non-coding RNA from Xyrichtys novacula (pearly razorfish), 543 nucleotides. Lineage: Eukaryota; Metazoa; Chordata; Actinopteri; Labriformes; Labridae. The record is from the annotation of a GenBank genome assembly.